This 497-nucleotide ribosomal RNA is filed under the name uncultured bacterium. RNAcentral's name for it is "partial 16S ribosomal RNA". It matches the Rfam family "Bacterial small subunit ribosomal RNA", at positions 28 to 507 of the family's 1533-position model. The record is from RNAcentral.
GAUGAACGCUGGCGGCGUGCCUAAUACAUGCAAGUCGAGCGAACAGACGAGGAGCUUGCUCCUCUGACGUUAGCGGCGGACGGGUGAGUAACACGUGGAUCACCUACCUAUAAGACUGGGAUAACUUCGGGAAACCGGAGCUAAUACCGGAUAAUAUAUUGAACCGCAUGGUUCAAUAGUGAAAGACGGUUUUGCUGUCUCUUCUAGAUGGAUCCGCGCCGCAUUAGCUAGUUGGUAAGGUAACGGCUUACCAAGGCAACGAUGCGUAGCCGACCUGAGAGGGUGAUCGGACACACUGGAACUGAGACACGGUCCAGACUCCUACGGGAGGCAGCAGUAGGGAAUCUUCCGCAAUGGGCGAAAGCCUGACGGAGCAACGCCGCGUGAGUGAUGAAGGUCUUCGGAUCGUAAAACUCUGUUAUUAGGGAAGAACAAAUGUGUAAGUAACUAUGCACGUCUUGACGGUACCUAAUCAGAAAGCCACGGCUAACUACGUG